Long non-coding RNA from Anguilla anguilla (European eel), 682 nucleotides. RefSeq lists it as uncharacterized. NCBI's taxonomy places the organism in Eukaryota, Metazoa, Chordata, Actinopteri, Anguilliformes, Anguillidae. The transcript has 3 exons. The record is from RefSeq and is a predicted model, not a curated record.
CUGGAGCCAUCUUCAGUUGUCACCCAUGAACUUAUCAGGAAAUGUAGCUAAAGGGUGUGAAGAGAUAAACGAGCCCCUCAUGGACCUGAAAAAGCAUCAGCUGUAGAAUGUGGUCACUUGAAGAAAAAGCACUGCACUCUGCCGCAGCUGCACUCUGAAUCACAUGACCAUAAAAAGAGGGCCUCGUGGCCUCAUGAUGCACAUAUGGAUCUGUGUAAAGCACUGUCACAGUGUGAAAAUGCUGGUCUCCUCUGCAACAGAGGCUUCUGCAGUGGCCAGUAUGACAUCCAAUCCAGAAAGGCAUAGAAAAGCACAUCUACAAAGGACAGCAUGAAUGAGUGAACCAGAAUUUCCUACUACACAUGCUUUUACUGCCCCCUGCAGCACAAUACGCACAAUUACAGCCCAUUUGAACUACAUUGUUAGCACAAUGUACCCAGAUACAAAUAACUUUUAUUAAAACUAAAAGCUGUCAUACAUAACUACACUAAACAAGAGUAAAACGUUUCCACAGAAAACGGUCUUUAACACCUGUAGGCAACCCUGGUCCUCGAGCGCCCUUAGAUGUUGGAGGCAGGUGCUCCAUUCAACCCCUAAUUUGUGGCAAUGUAGCAUAAUGGCUAGAGAACUGACCUUUAUAACUGUAAGGCAGUGGCUGCGGGUUCAACUCUGUUUCAAUGAA